GCUUGGAUGGUAUAGGGGCAUUAUGAUCGCCUGCCACGCGGUAGACCCGGGUUCGAUUCCCGGUCCAAGCA
This is a non-coding RNA of Schistocerca gregaria, 71 nucleotides long. NCBI's taxonomy places the organism in Eukaryota, Metazoa, Arthropoda, Insecta, Orthoptera, Acrididae. The record is from the annotation of a RefSeq genome assembly.